RNAcentral lists this ribosomal RNA (839 nucleotides) under uncultured beta proteobacterium. Its description in RNAcentral is "bacterial SSU rRNA". It matches the Rfam family "Bacterial small subunit ribosomal RNA", at positions 65 to 898 of the family's 1533-position model. Lineage: Bacteria; Pseudomonadati; Pseudomonadota; Betaproteobacteria. The record is from RNAcentral.
AACGGUAACGCGGACUUCGGUCUGGCGACGAGUGGCGAACGGGUGAGUAAUGCAUCGGAACGUAUCCAUUUGUGGGGGAUAGCCCGGCGAAAGCCGGAUUAAUACCGCAUAAUCUCCGAGGAGGAAAGUGGGGGACCUUCGGGCCUUACGCUGAUGGAGCGGCUGAUGUCGGAUUAGCUUGUUGGUAGGGUAAAGGCCUACCAAGGCGACGAUCCGUAGCUGGUCUGAGAGGACGACCAGCCACACUGGAACUGAGACACGGUCCAGACUCCUACGGGAGGCAGCAGUGGGGAAUUUUGGACAAUGGGGGCAACCCUGAUCCAGCCAUGCCGCGUGCGGGAAGAAGGCCUUCGGGUUGUAAACCGCUUUCAGACGGAAAGAAACAGUACAAGCUAAUACCUUGUACGAAUGACGGUACCGUCAGAAGAAGCACCGGCUAACUACGUGCCAGCAGCCGCGGUAAUACGUAGGGUGCGAGCGUUAAUCGGAAUUACUGGGCGUAAAGAGUGCGCAGGCGGCUCUCUAAGACAGGUGUGAAAUCCCCGGGCUUAACCUGGGAAUGGCGCUUGUGACUGGAGAGCUAGAGUGUGGCAGAGGGGAAUGGAAUUCCUGGUGUAGCAGUGAAAUGCGUAGAUAUCAGGAGGAACACCGAUGGCGAAGGCAGUUCCCUGGGCCAACACUGACGCUCAUGCACGAAAGCGUGGGGAGCAAACAGGAUUAGAUACCCUGGUAGUCCACGCCCUAAACGAUGUCAACUAGUUGUUGGGGAAGGAGACUUCUUUAGUAACGUAGCUAACGCGUGAAGUUGACCGCCUGGGGAGUACGGCCGCAAGGUUAAA